UACGUAGGGGGCUAGCGUUGUCCGGAAUCAUUGGGCGUAAAGCGCGUGUAGGCGGUUCGGUAAGUCCGCUGUGAAAGUCGGGGGCUCAACCCUCGGAUGCCGGUGGAUACUGUCGAGCUCGAGUACGGAAGAGGCGAGUGGAAUUCCUGGUGUAGCGGUGAAAUGCGCAGAUAUCAGGAGGAACACCGGUGGCGAAGGCGGGUCUCUGGGCCGUAACUGACGCUGAGGAGCGAAAGCGUGGGGAGCGAACAGG
This 253-nucleotide ribosomal RNA is filed under the name uncultured bacterium. RNAcentral describes it as "partial 16S ribosomal RNA". It matches the Rfam family "Bacterial small subunit ribosomal RNA", at positions 524 to 776 of the family's 1533-position model. The record is from RNAcentral.